Molecule: ribosomal RNA, 488 nt
Filed under: Brevibacterium sp. CMT501
Lineage: Bacteria; Bacillati; Actinomycetota; Actinomycetes; Micrococcales; Brevibacteriaceae
Description: bacterial SSU rRNA
Rfam family: Bacterial small subunit ribosomal RNA
Source: RNAcentral
UGCAGCGACGCAGCGUGCGGGAUGACGGCCUUCGGGUUGUAAACCGCUUUCAGCAGGGAAGAAGCGCAAGUGACGGUACCUGCAGAAGAAGUACCGGCUAACUACGUGCCAGCAGCCGCGGUAAUACGUAGGGUACGAGCGUUGUCCGGAAUUAUUGGGCGUAAAGAGCUCGUAGGUGGUUGGUCACGUCUGCUGUGGAAACGCAACGCUUAACGUUGCGCGUGCAGUGGGUACGGGCUGACUAGAGUGCAGUAGGGGAGUCUGGAAUUCCUGGUGUAGCGGUGAAAUGCGCAGAUAUCAGGAGGAACACCGGUGGCGAAGGCGGGACUCUGGGCUGUAACUGACACUGAGGAGCGAAAGCAUGGGGAGCGAACAGGAUUAGAUACCCUGGUAGUCCAUGCCGUAAACGUUGGGCACUAGGUGUGGGGGGCAUUCCACGUUCUCCGCGCCGUAGCUAACGCAUUAAGUGCCCCGCCUGGGGAGUACGG